Molecule: ribosomal RNA, 434 nt
Filed under: uncultured Coprococcus sp.
Lineage: Bacteria; Bacillati; Bacillota; Clostridia; Lachnospirales; Lachnospiraceae
Description: partial 16S ribosomal RNA
Rfam family: Bacterial small subunit ribosomal RNA
Source: RNAcentral
ACGGGAGGCAGCAGUGGGGAAUAUUGCACAAUGGGCGAAAGCCUGAUGCAGCAACGCCGCGUGAAGGAUGAAGGUCUUCGGAUCGUAAACUUCUGUCCUUGGGGAAGAUAAUGACGGUACCUGACUAAGAAGCCCCGGCUAACUACGUGCCAGCAGCCGCGGUAAUACGUAGGGGGCAAGCGUUAUCCGGAUUUACUGGGUGUAAAGGGAGCGUAGACGGCAUGGCAAGUCUGAUGUGAAAACCCGGGGCUCAACCCCGGGACUGCAUUGGAAACUGUCAGGCUAGAGUGCAGGAGAGGUAAGUGGAAUUCCUAGUGUAGCGGUGAAAUGCGUAGAUAUUAGGAGGAACACCAGUGGCGAAGGCGGCUUACUGGACUGUAACUGACGUUGAGGCUCGAAAGCGUGGGGAGCAAACAGGAUUAGAUACCCUGGUA